GAUCUGCUGGACACAUCAAUAGUCUCAUCGUCAAGGCGCGGUUGGGCGAAAAGCAACAGAAACACAUUUUACAUCCAAACUCCCCACCAAGCGAAACAGAACUAUUUUCGGCGAUAUUGCAGUCCGUUGCUGAUUCCUAGGAUUGCCCAGGGGGUGCAGUACUUCUCCUUUUCCUCACUUCGCUUUCUUCCUCUUCUUCCUCCGCUUUAGACUCGGCCUCUGGUCGUUUGUUAAACAUCUGUAUCAGUCGAAGCCGUAUCAAUUUAUAUAUCUCAGCAAACCUGUCUUCCUAAUAAUAUACCGAUCCUCGCCACUUCUCAGCUGCUGAUGUCGUUUGUCGAAAUAUUGUUCCUUGAUAUUUCUCCUUUCUGACCAACCUCCGAAUUCAUUCCAUCCACGACACCCCACAAUCCGCUGCUGCGACGAGACUCUCGAACAAAUAUCGCUGAGAGCAAUGGCCUAGACUAGACAGUUUAAAUUUCUCUCUCUCUGUCUCUCUCUCUUCCCUCUCAUCCCUCCCUCGACCGCAUCCCCCUCGAUUUUUAACUUCUCGCCAAAUAAUACCCAGCAUAAGCUUGACCUCCAGUUGAGAGAAGGAACCGUGAUCCCACAUACACCAGCCCGAACUUAGGAGUGGUAGAAUAAAACCUCAGUGGCUCUCUCGGGUGUCUUUUUCCCACCGAAUAAAAUUGAGGUUCUAUUUCACCCUUUCUCCAUCACCAAUAUAUAUAUAUUUAUAUAUAUAUUUAUCAUGCUUGACACCACAGAUGUUCAUUCAAUUUAUGCGCGGUCUGGCGGUGGCGCGCUCGGUGGCCC
This 816-nucleotide small RNA is filed under the name Histoplasma capsulatum. RNAcentral's name for it is "hypothetical RNA". The record is from RNAcentral. RNAcentral also lists the same sequence under 1 other name. Lineage: Eukaryota; Fungi; Ascomycota; Eurotiomycetes; Onygenales; Ajellomycetaceae.